CCUACGGGACGCAGCAGUGGGGAAUAUUGCACAAUGGGCGCAAGCCUGAUGCAGCCAUGCCGCGUGUAUGAAGAAGGCCUUCGGGUUGUAAAGUACUUUCAGCGAGGAGGAAGGCGUUAAGGUUAAUAACCUUGGCGAUUGACGUUACUCGCAGAAGAAGCACCGGCUAACUCCGUGCCAGCAGCCGCGGUAAUACGGAGGGUGCAAGCGUUAAUCGGAAUUACCGGGCGUAAAGCGCACGCAGGCGGUCUGUCAAGUCGGAUGUGAAAUCCCCGGGCUCAACCUGGGGACUGCAUUCGAAACUGGCAGGCUAGAGUCUUGUAGAGGGGGGUAGAAUUCCAGGUGUAGCGGUGAAAUGCGUAGAGAUCUGAAGGAAUACCAGUGGCGAAGGCGGCCCCCUGGACAAAGACUGACGCUCAGAUGCGAAAGCGUGGGGAGCAAACAGGAUUAGAUACCCGUGUAGUC
This 465-nucleotide ribosomal RNA is filed under the name uncultured bacterium. RNAcentral's name for it is "bacterial SSU rRNA". It matches the Rfam family "Bacterial small subunit ribosomal RNA", at positions 338 to 795 of the family's 1533-position model. The record is from RNAcentral.